Ribosomal RNA from Paenibacillus sp., 139 nucleotides. It matches the Rfam family "Bacterial large subunit ribosomal RNA", at positions 2779 to 2925 of the family's 2925-position model. The record is from Rfam. Lineage: Bacteria; Bacillati; Bacillota; Bacilli; Caryophanales; Paenibacillaceae.
AAAUAGACAGGAAGCCCCCCUCAAGAUGGGAUUUCCCAGGAUGUAAGACCCCUUGUAGACGACGAGGUUGAUAGGUUGGGGGUGGAAGUGCCGCAAGGCAUGGAGCUGACCAAUACUAAUCGGUCGAGGGCUUAUCCAA